UCGAACUCCUACGGGAGGCAGCAGUGGGGAAUAUUGCACAAUGGGGGAAACCCUGAUGCAGCGACGCCGCGUGGAGGAAGAAGGUCUUCGGAUUGUAAACUCCUGUUGUUGAGGAAGAUAAUGACGGUACUCAACAAGGAAGUGACGGCUAACUACGUGC
RNAcentral lists this ribosomal RNA (160 nucleotides) under uncultured bacterium. RNAcentral describes it as "partial 16S ribosomal RNA". It matches the Rfam family "Bacterial small subunit ribosomal RNA", at positions 331 to 508 of the family's 1533-position model. The record is from RNAcentral.